Molecule: ribosomal RNA, 303 nt
Filed under: uncultured bacterium
Lineage: Bacteria
Description: partial 16S ribosomal RNA
Rfam family: Bacterial small subunit ribosomal RNA
Source: RNAcentral
AGCAGCAGCCACGGUAAUACGGAGGGUGCAAGCGUUACUCGGAAUCACUGGGCGUAAAGGACGCGUAGGCGGAUUAUCAAGUCUCUUGUGAAAUCUAACGGCUUAACCGUUAAACUGCUUGGGAAACUGAUAAUCUAGAGUAAGGGAGAGGCAGAUGGAAUUCUUGGUGUAGGGGUAAAAUCCGUAGAGAUCAAGAAGAAUACCCAUUGCGAAAGCGAUCUGCUGGAACUUAACUGGCGCUAAUGCGUGAAAGCGUGGGGAGCAAACAGGAUUAGAUACCCCCGUAGUCCCUGUCUCUUAUAC